RNAcentral lists this ribosomal RNA (522 nucleotides) under uncultured Acidobacteriota bacterium. RNAcentral describes it as "bacterial SSU rRNA". It matches the Rfam family "Bacterial small subunit ribosomal RNA", at positions 355 to 868 of the family's 1533-position model. The record is from RNAcentral. Lineage: Bacteria; Pseudomonadati; Acidobacteriota.
UGGGGAAUUUUUCGCAAUGGGGGAAACCCUGACGAAGCAACGCCGCGUGGGGGAUGAAGGUCCUCGGAUCGUAAACCCCUGUCGACCGGGACGAAGGCACUCGACCUAAUACGUCGAGCUGUUGACUGUACCGGUGGAGGAAGCCACGGCUAACUCUGUGCCAGCAGCCGCGGUAAUACAGAGGUGGCAAGCGUUGUUCGGAAUUACUGGGCGUAAAGGGCGCGUAGGCGGCCGCGUAAGUCCCGUGUGAAAUCCCUCGGCUCAACUGAGGAAUGGCACGGGAGACUGCGUGGCUCGAGUUCGGGAGAGGGAAGCGGAAUUCCGGGUGUAGCGGUGAAAUGCGUAGAUAUCCGGAGGAACACCGGUGGCGAAGGCGGCUUCCUGGACCGAUACUGACGCUGAGGCGCGAAAGCUAGGGGAGCAAACGGGAUUAGAUACCCCGGUAGUCCUAGCUGUAAACGAUGAGUGCUGGGUGUAGGGGGUAUUAACCCCUCCUGUGCCGAAGCUAACGCAUUAAGCACU